This 253-nucleotide ribosomal RNA is filed under the name uncultured bacterium. Its description in RNAcentral is "partial 16S ribosomal RNA". It matches the Rfam family "Bacterial small subunit ribosomal RNA", at positions 524 to 776 of the family's 1533-position model. The record is from RNAcentral.
UACGUAGGGCGCAAGCGUUGUCCGGAAUUAUUGGGCGUAAAGGGCUCGUAGGCGGUCUGUCGCGUCCGUUGUGAAAACUCGAGGCUCAACCUCGGGCUUGCAGUGGAUACGGGCAGACUAGAGUGCGGUAGGGGAGACUGGAAUUCCUGGUGUAGCGGUGGAAUGCGCAGAUAUCAGGAGGAACACCGAUGGCGAAGGCAGGUCUCUGGGCCGCAACUGACGCUGAGGAGCGAAAGCAUGGGGAGCGAACAGG